AUUGAACGCUGGCGGCAGGCCUAACACAUGCAAGUCGAACGGUAACAGGAAGAAGCUUGCUUCUUUGCUGACGAGUGGCGGACGGGUGAGUAAUGUCUGGGAAACUGCCUGAUGGAGGGGGAUAACUACUGGAAACGGUAGCUAAUACCGCAUAACGUCGCAAGACCAAAAAGGGGGACCUUCGGGCCUCUUGCCAUCGGAUGUGCCCAGAUGGGAUCAGCUAGUAGGUGGGGUAACGGCUCACCUAGGCGACGAUCCCUAGCUGGUCUGAGAGGAUGACCAGCCACACUGGAACUGAGACACGGUCCAGACUCCUACGGGAGGCAGCAGUGGGGAAUAUUGCACAAUGGGCGCAAGCCUGAUGCAGCCAUGCCGCGUGUAUGAAGAAGGCCUUCGGGUUGUAAAGUACUUUCAGCGGGGAGGAAGGGAGUAAAGUUAAUACCUUUGCUCAUUGACGUUACCCGCAGAAGAAGCACCGGCUAACUCCG
Molecule: ribosomal RNA, 488 nt
Filed under: uncultured bacterium
Lineage: Bacteria
Description: partial 16S ribosomal RNA
Rfam family: Bacterial small subunit ribosomal RNA
Source: RNAcentral